This 269-nucleotide ribosomal RNA is filed under the name uncultured prokaryote. RNAcentral describes it as "partial 16S ribosomal RNA". It matches the Rfam family "Bacterial small subunit ribosomal RNA", at positions 524 to 792 of the family's 1533-position model. The record is from RNAcentral.
UACGUAGGUGGCAAGCGUUGUCCGGAAUUAUUGGGCGUAAAGCGCGCGCAGGCGGUCCUUUAAGUCUGAUGUGAAAGCCCACGGCUCAACCGUGGAGGGUCAUUGGAAACUGGGGGACUUGAGUACAGAAGAGGAAAGCGGAAUUCCACGUGUAGCGGUGAAAUGCGUAGAGAUGUGGAGGAACACCAGUGGCGAAGGCGGCUUUCUGGUCUGUAACUGACGCUGAGGCGCGAAAGCGUGGGGAGCAAACAGGAUUAGAUACCCCCGUA